GAAAGGCCGAACACUCGCAAACGCAGAAUUUAACAAAGAAGACGAAAAAGACACGAUAUGGAAGAUUUGUUUGAAAUUCGAACUCUCUCGGAAGAGCAGAGUAUCAGACUUGAACAGCUUAGUGAUCUGCAGGAGGCGAGAGAAAAAGUGUACCACGAGUUCAAAAUAGAGAGAAAUCGAGGAAUAAGUUUUGAUGGUUAUGUUGCCGGUUUUGGUUUUAAUAAUUACUGCACUUUGUGCUGAUCGGAAUUGGAGCAUUAUUUGAGAACAGGUAAAGAAUAUACAGCUCGUACAAAAUUCGACCACCUGUUACCUUAUACUGGGUUAAAAUGAGAAACCAACACUCAGCUUCGAAGCCCUGUUAUUAGUAGACUAUCCGCAUGUCACCAUUGAAGAUCUUAUAAGAGCUCCAUUUGAGAGUACAUCUGCUCCGGGCCCGGAACUGGUGAAAGAGGAAAACACUCGAGUUUUGGAAAACGGUUCUGCUCUCGCCGGAUAUCUCUUCGACAACGACAGGGAGAAGCCCAUAACUUCUAUCGAACAAAUCGCCUCAGUUGUGGACCAAUCGUCUGCAGCGGUCGACCAGAAAGGAACAUUCCGCGUGAAUAUUAAUGAAAAGUUGCCCGAUGUAAACGAAUACGCCUUCUUUCACCCGAUACUUGUCACGGGAGACAACUCUGUGACAGCGGUGAAGGUCAGCAAGAAGCCAAGUGUGGCGGCCAGGCUGGGCAAGUGGCUGAGAAGUUUGUUUUCCUGCACAAAGAAGCCUGAGUGCGUGGACUGAUGUCAUUAUUUUUAAAUAAAGCAAUUGUGUAUGGUUGAACGUGACACAAAAGUGUUCGGGUAAAAUAAAUUACAUGUUAGAACACAAUACGCAUGUCGUUCUCUGUAUUGCUUGUUUAUUAUCAAACACUACUUUAUACCUUUAGUAUGUUUACCACUGUCAGAAUACUCGGAUCUGUCCAUUCUGAUAAAAUUAUUUACUCGUUCGAACGAACGCGGCGAUGUUCGUUCUAGUUUACGUUCGACAAACCAAGAG
Dreissena polymorpha is the source of this 1039-nucleotide long non-coding RNA. RefSeq lists it as uncharacterized. The transcript has 3 exons. The record is from RefSeq and is a predicted model, not a curated record. NCBI's taxonomy places the organism in Eukaryota, Metazoa, Mollusca, Bivalvia, Myida, Dreissenidae.